This 233-nucleotide long non-coding RNA is filed under the name Elaeis guineensis (African oil palm). Its description in RNAcentral is "long non-coding RNA (EGUI_LNC002890)". Lineage: Eukaryota; Viridiplantae; Streptophyta; Magnoliopsida; Arecales; Arecaceae. The record is from RNAcentral.
CCAUUCUCCAUGCCCCAAGAGUAAGAAACCCUAGGGUUUCUUGCCGCCAGGUCCCAAAAAGGAAAGAAAAGCAAGGAGGCGCUAGCCCCUUCCCCCUUGCAGCCGCCAGCCAUUUUCUUCUCUCCCUCUCUUGCAGCCACCCAAGCAUCAGGUCCAGGACUUAGAAUCUCUUAAGAAGAGGUUGAUACAAGUCUCUUUCAGAUCUGAAGUUGAUCUGAGGUCGUUUGAGGUGC